GAGAAAAUGAUUUUAUUAUCAUUUAUAGAUGUGUUUCUUUUUAAUAGAUGUAUUUUUAUUAAGGUUUUCUCUGUAAUAGAAAACAAACUAUGUUUUGCAUUCUUUCUUUUAGCCACAUAGAUAGGAGAAGAGCACAAGCUGUACUUUGUGGUUUUGACACCUCCACCUCCAGUUCAGGGUGGUGGAAAGUUGUUUAUCUGUUUCAAACUCAGCUCUUACCUAUGUCUGGUUUUUUGGAUGUUUUCAGAUGUGUGUGUGUAUGUGUUAAAAUCCAUGACGUAUGUUGUCUUGCACUUAUCUUUUUGGGUGUCAACCCAUCUUAUAAAAAGAGCUUGCAGACAAAGAAUCGGAGAGAGACAGCUUGAGUAUUUCUUGAUGAGAAAUCUCUCUGGUUCUUUCCCUCGCGAGUGAUUUAAACCUGAAUUCUUGGUCUGACGUGUCUUAAUUAUUGUUAAGGUAAUUUGAAUAAACCUAACAUUUUGGUCCUUCGAGCCGGAUUCCAACAUACCCGGAGAUCAGCAGUGGAGGAGACAAGCCGAAGCCCGACGUCGGCCGAAUUCGUCUAAGAGUUCGAAGCAAAGCCCUGGGAGGUGAGAAUUCCUCGCCAGGCCGGCAUUUAGGUUUCCUCUGCUGAUGAUCCCGGAUUGACGGAAUUCGAAGCAAGACACAAAUCAGGCGCAGUGAAUUGGGUAAGUUGCUUUAUUGGUAUUUUAAUUGGUGGUUAGAGGCCCCAAUAAUCGUGGGUUAGAGGCCCCGGGAACUGUUGAACAGCUGAGGGUUAGAGGCCCCAGAAGCUGGAUUGGUGGUUAGAGUCCCCAAUUUGUAUGGGUUAGAGUCCCAGAUAACAGUCGAAUAGCCAAAAGAGGGUUAGAGGCCCCAAGAGCUAAAAUCCCGAAAUUCAAAUUUACUGAAGAAGUGUUUAUCCAAUAAUCGUGGGUUAGAGGCCCCGGGAACUGUUGAACAGCUGAGGGUUAGAUGCCCAAGAUGCUGAAUUGGUGGUUAGAGUCCCCAAUGUUUCUGGGUUAGAGUCCCAAAUAACAGUCGAACAGCCAGAGGGUUAGAGUCCCCAAGAGCUAAAAUCCCGAAAUUUUUUAUUUUACUGUAGUGAAGUGGUUAUUCUGUUUUUUUAUUUUGUUUUGAAAUAAGACUAGGGGAUCCUGAAGUAUCGCCCAAAAAGUAAACCCUGAAGUGUUUACUAAUAGAAUAGACCCUGAAGUGUUUGUUCUGUUGUCUUAGUUAAUGGGGAUCCUGAAGUAUCGCCCAGAAAGUAGACCCUGAAGUGUUUACUGAAAGAAUAGACCCUGAAAUGUUUAUUCUGUUUUUUUAAGGGAAUCCUGAAGUAUUGCCCUGUUGAUAGUAAAUCCUGAAGUAUUUACUGAAUGUUGUAAACCCAGAAGUGUUUACUGAGAAAUUGUUGAGAAUAAACCCUGAAGUGUUUAUUCUACUGUAUUUUUGCUGUGUUUUUGCUGCGUUAUUUGCUGUGUAUAUGUUUGUGAUGUGCUCAGUGUGCUGGAAAUCUAGCGGUGUUAACAAACCAGUUGUACGCUGAAGUAGGCACAUUGAGUGAUUUUUUUUAUCUGUGAAUCGAAAGUUGUAUUGUUGCAUUGUUGUAUUGCAAUUUGAAUCCCCGGGGAUCGCUAAAUGCAUGUGUGUGAUCGAAUAAUAGGUUAUGAUUCUGAAUAAUUUAGGAUCGCUAAUGAUUUUAGAUUGAGUAAUAAUUUGUGAUUGCUAAGAAUUUAUGAUUGCUAUUAAUUUGUGACUGCGUGGAUCGAGUAAUAAUUUGAGAAAAUUAGAAAUUGUUGUGGAUGUUUUAAGAAUGAUAAAUAAUUAAUAUAGUGAAAAUAAUAAAACAACCCCUGUAGUACGCACAACGGCGAUGGAGCCAGAUCCAAUCCCGUCCCCUGAAGCCUUAGCACAUGUUAUAUAUCAAUCAUACGCAGGGGCAAGAGUAGAUUUAGACAAAAUGAUUAAUAGAGCUCCCCAGUAUUAUAAUACCAUAACAGCGUGGCUCAGCAGAAGAGUAACAUGAUCAACACCUUUAAAGAUGUAAGAAAUCUAGAGGAAGCACAAGAUCUUUUGCAAAUUGCAUUAAAAGAGGAAGUUCAGUGGACAAUGAAAGCGAAUGGUGCUUUCGAUAAGAUCAAACAAGAAUUAGUUUCUUCCACUGUGUUUAGCUUUAAUUGAUUGCACUAAACAAUUUGUGCAAACCGUAGUUUGAAAAAUGAAAUUAAUGGCUUCCAUGUUGUUACAAAAACAUGGCACAAAGUUAAGACCUGUAGAUUUUUAUUCUAAGAAGUUAAAUAUGGUAUGGUAUACCAGCACUACCACCCUGUACAAGCAGUUUGUGCAGCAGCAAUGGGUGUAGAAGUAUCAGCUGAAAUUAUUUUAUUUCACCAUUUGAAAUUUUUAAUUACAUAGGCCUAUGUUGUAGAUAUUUUACUUUUAAAAACCUAAACUGAAGUUCUUAUCACCUGCUCGACAUAUGUCUUGUAUCACCGUGCUAAUCUCACAACCACACAUUCCCAUUCAGAGGUGUAAUACACUAAACCCAGCAAUUGUAGGAGAACCUCGUUGUUGUAUUGAACUAACAGAUCAAUUGGUUUUGGCCAGACCAGAUCUAAAAGACCAACCAUUAGAAGAGAGAGAAGUGUGGUUUGUAGAUGGUUCGUGUUAUAAAGAUAAAGCAGGCAAAACUAUCACAGGAUAUGCUGUGGUUAGCUCAUUAUAAAAGCCAGACAGUUGCUAAAUACACAUUCAGCACAAGCUGCAGAGAAAUAAUAGCUUUGAAAAAGAGCAUGUCUUUUGGGAAAAAGGCCAAUCAUUAACUGUCCAACCAGUUGUCAGUAAGCCUUUUCAAAUUUUUUUUUUUUAAAUUUUUUUUGUUGUUGUUUUUGUUUUUUGUUUGGUUGUGUAUUUGUUGUUUUUGAUUUGAAAAACAAUGGGAACUGAGAGGUAAGAAGACCUCUACGGGAAAGUCAAUAACUGAUAAUUAAUUGUUUGAGACAUGGGCUUUGCCAAUGUCUCAACAGGAGGGAGUAUAAAGUAAUUGAUGAACAUUUUAUAAUCUAUGGAUUUAAUUACUACUAAAAAAAAUUUUUUUUGUGAAGCAUGUACCAUAUGCAUAAAGCAUAAUGCACAAGGAAAUGUUAGAGUACUCAGAGGUAAAUUCCCGGAACCAGAAUACCCUUUUCAGAAUUUUUGUAUGGACUUCAUUGAAUUGAAUCAGAGUGCUCCAUACAAAUACUGAUUGCAUUCCUGAGAAAAUAUAUAGUAACAAUGGUGCCCAUUUUGUGAAUGAGGUAAUAAAGAGCAACAACCUAGAUAUCAUUUUAAAGAAUCAUUGUGCAUAUCAUCCACAAAUUGCAGGACUGGUGAAAUAAAUAAAUGUCACGGUAAAAGAAUAGGGAAAAAUAAAUAAAUAAAAUAAAUGUAUGGAUGAAACUGUACUGUUUUAGUGAAGUUAUAUAUCAGAAUAACUCUAACUGUGAAAUGACGUACUCCAUUAGAGAUAAGUUUUGGAAUGUCCCUGCUAACCUCCCCUUUGCAGAAGAAUGAAGAAGAAUAAAACUUUAGUGAUUAUUUAAAAGCAAUUUUUUCUAAAUGAGAAAUGUUACAAGCAAACAUACUGCCAGAUUUUCUCCUCUCUCUGUGAUACAGGAAGCAGCUGUCCAGCCAGGUGACUACAUCUUAAUCAAAGUCAUCAAACGAAAAACUGGUACAGCUCGAAGUGGGAAAGAUCUUAUCAAGUUCUUAUUACCACACCAACAGCAGUAAAGAUUGCAGAAAGACCUUCGUGGAUACAUCUCAGCCACAUCAAGAAACAGUUGGUUUGUUCUGUUCAGGACAGUGAAGUUGUUGUUUAGUUAAUCUAGGUAAGAGAAGUGUGGGUAAGUGAGUGGACCCGGAAGACUGUUUUUGUGACCCCUGUUUAUUUUUUACGGGAGCAAGGGAAGUUUAACCUAGAAGAUAUUGUAGGUAAAAUUAGUUAGCACUGUCCUGUCUACACAGAACAGAAGAAAUGGCUGAUUUUCUGAAAAUAAUCAUUGUGUGUGAUUCUAGCAACCAUGCUGGUGUGUGAGACCCCGCCUGGCUGGACGAAGCAAGAGAAGCAGGAUGAGCUUAAGAGAAAGGAGAGAGGCAAGUGGCAGCAGAUGAAAGAAGGAAAGUAUCAGAACACCUACGAGAUCAACACAGAAAUCACACAAACUGUUAUGUCUGUUCGAAGAUGCCCAAGUCUGGAAUGAAUCCGCAUGCAGUUCCUGAACCCGUUAUAAACGUUUCCUGAAUGUCUGUUAUCAGCUUAUUCACUGCAGUUUCUUAACAUGACUUUGCAAAACCGCCUGCCACCUCCUGUGGAUAUUAAGAAACUGACUUUUAAGAACUCUAUGAGCCUAACGUUUAAUGUUAGUGAUAAAAUGUAUGUUCCAGUCCACGUUCCUCCAAGUGGACAAUUUAUUUGUUAUGAGAACACUGUGACUUUGGGAGAUGAGAUUUAUCCUGGAAAAGUGCCCAAACAGAACUGUAAGCGCAUAUUCAUGCCUUGUACUAAAAAUCAAACAGGACAUUUUAGACAAUCCGAAGCUAACAGAGGAGUUAUGUGUACAAAUUAUUUCAACGCACCCAAUGCCAUGGGAACCACCCCACAGAUGAACUUUGUGUGGUUGUGUGGCUUAGACAUUUAUCAUCAUCUUUCUACUGGGUGGAAGGGCCGGUGUGCCCCGCCCUGCCAACAGAUCACUCUUUCAUCAUCACCGCGAAGGAAGCUCAACAUCGCACCAAACGAGAUCUCUACAAGAAACAGGACUCCCUGUGGGGAACGGAUGUACCCAACGACCACAAGCUAUGGUCCAACGGUCAGAAAGUUGGACUUGCGCUUUUUCCUUGGCUAGGAACUGGAAAACUUAUGCUGAGAAUGGAAACCAUUGACUGUCGAUUUGAGGUAUUCCUUAAUAGUACCACGGCAGCAUUGAAAGAUAUCAAAGAAGAAUUAACAGCCUAUGCAUGAUGGACAGGUAAUCAAACAGGCCAUUAACAACCUCACCAUGCUUCGUGAAGCCGUUGAGAAAGACUAUGUUACAGCUAAUGGUGUCUCCAAAUGGUUGUUUGGAGGGUUGUCGGGUAAACGCCUUAUGAAAGUGUGUGUUGUUCCUGAUUUGCAUGUAUCUGAGCUGUGUUUUACCCUGUGUUAUGAAAUUAAUGAGAAAAUGAUUCAUUCUAUGUUUUCAGACAUGUAUUUUAUGGGAAACUUUGCAGUGGAUGAUGAUUAUGAAGUAUUCUCACGAGUCAAUAUUUCAGUUAAAACUGAUACAAUGAUAUAAUGUUUUUGUUUGCUAUGCUUUUAUUUUUCUAUUAAAGAUAGUUGAUUACUAAAGUACAUUAGAAGGUAGCGGGGUGUAACUGAAAAAGAAACAGGAUAAAUGAUAAACAGGAGGGAAUGUUGGAGAAAAUGAUUUUAUUAUCAUUUAUAGAUGUGUUUCUUUUUAAUAGAUGUAUUUUUAUUAAGGUUUUCUCUGUAAUAGAAAACAAACUAUGUUUUGCAUUCUUUCUUUUAGCCACAUAGAUAGGAGAAGAGCACAAGCUGUACUUUGUGGUUUUGACACCUCCACCUCCAGUUCAGGGUGGUGGAAAGUUGUUUAUCUGUUUCAAACUCAGCUCUUACCUAUGUCUGGUUUUUUGGAUGUUUUCAGAUGUGUGUGUGUAUGUGUUAAAAUCCAUGACGUAUGUUGUCUUGCACUUAUCUUUUUGGGUGUCAACCCAUCUUAUAAAAAGAGCUUGCAGACAAAGAAUCGGAGAGAGACAGCUUGAGUAUUUCUUGAUGAGAAAUCUCUCUGGUUCUUUCCCUCGCGAGUGAUUUAAACCUGAA
This is a non-coding RNA of Misgurnus anguillicaudatus (oriental weatherfish), 5863 nucleotides long. NCBI's taxonomy places the organism in Eukaryota, Metazoa, Chordata, Actinopteri, Cypriniformes, Cobitidae. The record is from RefSeq and is a predicted model, not a curated record.